AGUAUAAUAAAAACAAACAAAGAAGAUUUGCGAAGGCCGCCUAUGGCCUUCUUUUGCCCUGGACAGCUUUCCCUCCUAGUGUCCGGGGUUUUUUU
Molecule: regulatory RNA element, 95 nt
Organism: Geoalkalibacter ferrihydriticus DSM 17813
Lineage: Bacteria; Pseudomonadati; Thermodesulfobacteriota; Desulfuromonadia; Desulfuromonadales; Geoalkalibacteraceae
Rfam family: atoC RNA
Source: Rfam